UCGUCAUUUUCACAUUUCAUGUAAAAAGCCUGUGCUUAAACAAACAAACAAACAAACAAACAAAUAGAAACAGCAGCAAAAAAAGAAAAAUGUGUCUGCUGGCCCUUUGAGCAGUAGGGAUGUACAGGUGAUACAACCAAUGCUGAGCUACAUUUGGCAAGACUUAUAGUAGGGACGCUUUACAUAAGACUUCCACUACCUAAAGGGAACCUACAAGAAAGACAAGGAGAGCCUCCUUAUCAGCAAAUGUAAUGAUAGGACAAAGGGUACCAGUUAUACACUAAAAGAAUGUAGGUGUAGGUUAGACUUAGGAAAAAAUUCUUCACUAGGAGAGUGGUGAAGCACCGGCACAGCUUCCCAGGGGAGCUGUGCAUGCCCCAUCACUGGAGGCACUUGAUGCAGGUUGGAUGGGGGCCUGGGAAGCCUGAAUUGGUGUGGGGUAGUCCUGUACACAGCAGAGGGUGGGACUGAGUGAGCUUUAGGGUCCCUUCCAGCACUAUUAUGUGAUUCUUUUAUCCUAUGCUACCAGGCCUGACCCCAUGUAGACUUGGAGCCAAACAUCCUCCAGCUGCAGGAGGCAUGGAUGUGCCUGGCAGAGAGGAAAAACCUCUGACUGGCUUCACUUAUGCCAGGCUAUGAAUAUGGAGUGGUCAUAGCAUGUCCAAUAGAUGUUUCAGAUAUGCUUCUUCCUCUUGACAGGUUUAUAGAAACAAAAGCUACCCAUGACCAAUGUGUGAUGGAAAGCUUCCCAGCUCCUCAUGAAGACAGAGGUAUAAAGACGUGUGUAGGAAAACCAGAUGAAGAUUAAAUCCCUGGAAAGAAAAUGUCAGCAGUCCCUAGAUAUAACCCACUGACCCAUUCCAGUCUCAAUGAAACACCCAAAUCCAGCCUGCCUUUUGGUCAGGAGCAGUGACGCCUGCUAGGCUCAGGAAGCAGAAUCACUCCUCCUCCCCCUGCUCCCUGCCAUGAAAAAGGAAAAAGAAAAAAAAAAGUAAAGAGAAGAGAAGAAAGACAAAAAUUCUAAGUUCAUCUAAACCUAUCAACAUGUGCAGAACGCAUGUCUGUGCCUAUUAAUCACUGCUGGGGAAACACAAAGCCACAGUGCCAUUACGGAAAAGACAACAGAUCAUUCCAAAGCCAUAUGGCCACCACCAUUGAUCCUGACAUCCAGGAAUCAGUGAAUGAUCUUGACUGGUAAGAAUGUAGAACCAGAGCCAAUAUUAUAACUUCACUGCUUCUACAGACUGUGGGGAAACACGUUUUGAGAGUAAUGCAAAGCUGCAACAAAGAGCACAUGGAUAUGCUAUCAGUAUUUGCUAUCAAAGGAUCUCAUCAUAUGGCAUAAUGUGCUUUAAGAGUGAUUACAGUAACUUAAAAAAAAUUGUAUUAGCUCAUUUGUUCCUUAAUAAAUCUGUUUUUUAAGUGAACCCUGAAUGAGUUGGAACAUUAAGUUAUAUGGACAGUCUUCCAAAUCCUUGUACGAGUACACGAUCCCAUUUAUUUAGGUAGGAAUAUUCACACAUAUAUAUGUAUACUAGCACUUAUUAAAUAAAAUAAUUAUCACAUUUUCAAGACUGCUUAUAGUAAAGGCCUUGAAUAUCACAACUGGGUGCAUGACUCAAUAUCUACACUUGGGGCCCUUUAUUGCUGCAGAAACCAGAUUGGGAAUUUCCAACUAGCAUAACAGCCUCUAAAUGUCUUCAUUUUCAUAUACUGUCUCAGAAAGUAGGUGGUCUCUGACAUGGUCUUUAAGUGCAGUGGGCCAGAUAUUCAGCUGGUAUUAAUUGUCACUCCUUUGUCUUUGAGAGCAUCAUGCCAAUUUAACCCAGGAUAGGAUCUGGCUCAGCAUGGUCCUUUCCACACUGUCUGCUUAAUCUGUCUAAAUCUACGUUAAUCUAGAGUAGUUUUCAGUAUCAUUUAAAAGUACCUCAAGGAAUAAACUUCUUUCCAAUGAUAAAAUAACAUCCAGAGAUAUUUUCUUACAAAAUAGGCUUUAAAAAUCUGAUCUCCCACACUGCAGAAGCAUCCCACAGUCUUCAGUUCUUGGCUGGCACAUAAAGACAGUCUAAAUUUCAAGAAUGCAAGACAGCAGCAGCCACUCUGUUUUGGGGAAACACAUAGUGAAGAUGUAUGGACAUAACCCUUGCAGUGACUAUGGUCUUCAGGACUAGUGAAGUGUCCCUGACAUCCUUCAUGUAAUAGGGAAGAUGUAGCCCCUCAUUUUCAUGUAUUAGAGAAAUUUUGCUUUGCAUAAAAUACUGAAAUAGUCAAAGGAGCUGUGUUUGAAGGCAAACCUUUCCUUCCCAUACCUGGCUGCAGUGAGGGGAAGUGGUGCCCAAACACUGACCUCCUGGAUUGCACUCAGGCAUCCUUAUCCCAUGCCCUGACACAGGGGCACCGUGGUGAAGCUGAAGCAGGGCAGAAGAGCUCCAGCCAUGGACUUCUGGGGACUUCUAGUUCAGGCCCUGCUUGGGCCAUGUUAGCCCUGGCAGGGCACAUGCAGCUGUGACCAUGCUGUUUCCUACUUUGGAAAAACAUCAGCCUAUGUUUGUGCUGCUAGUGAAGCCUACAAGUGCCCAAACAGAAAAGGUAGGUACCACUGCUGCUGCCAGUUGUGUGAGCAGGGAGUGCUUUGCGCUACACAGUUCAAAUGGGUUGUCUCUGUAUCCCAGAGGCAGGAACUAUGCAUGUGCACCCUUCAGCUGGCUAUCAGGCAAGAAUGCAUGAAAAUUAAACAAAUUACUGGCUAUUACAAGAAACAUAUUUCACUAAUUGGCUUCUGAGGGCAACAUUUUAUUGGGCAACAGCUAUCAAUAGGCAAAGUGUGGCACUUGUUUAAUACUGGAGCUUUAUUCUAGCCUAAGGGAAAGGAAAGACUAAAGGAUCAAGGAGACAAAUGAAAAACAAACACAGAAAGCUGCAAAGUUAAAAACACUGAGGAGAGGAAGCCACAAGGGAACAGGAUUAGAUUUCAGAGUCUCCAUAAGUGAGCACUAGGAUCUUUCUUGUAAAUUAAUUCCACACUUAAUUUUUGGAAUUCUUUCUUACUUUGCUAGACUCCAGCCAAAACUAAGUCAGAUGAAAUGUUAUAAGAGACUGGCAUCCUGGGAUGUAGUGGUAAACUAGUUUACUUUCACAGUUUCCUUUCAUAUGUAGAUUAAGCGCUGCAUUUUCUUUUGUCAUUGCUUGCAAAGAUCUGAGUUUCCUUCCUAAGGCAUCAUCUUUUAUUAAUCAGCUUAUCCACAACAGAGUCCAAAGAGACUGGAAAUGGGUUCAGACAGAUGUUGAUAAAUGUCUUAAGUUUCUUAUAAACUAAAUCAAGGCCAACCAUGUUUUAUUAAUAAGCUAACCUUCAAACAUAUUUUGCCCUCUGUAUACUGUAUCACACUUUAUAUGCCAUCCUGUUUACACUGCUUGCCCCAGUUUUACUGAAUGCUGUUAACAUCCUUUACUUAAGAAGGCAAACCCCUAUGUAUAUGUACAACGCUGUCGUAAAGUGUAAAUGUUAUCAUCUGCAAAACUACAUGCUAUGUACCAGGUGUGGUAAGAAAGGGCUUAUUCCUUUAUUGCUCCAUCUCCUUUCCUCUAAUGCUCCUGACCAAACGUACUCAACCAGCAUGCAGCUUAGCUGAUACUAUUGCCAUGCCAUGGAAAAUAGACUUCUGCUGUGUCCUUGAAGAUUUUCCCCCUCGCAAGCAACACUGCUGUGGGGCGGAUGCUAGAUCACUCUAUCCUACUUCUAAGCGCUCGUUCCCAGCUGAGAAAAAUGAGAAAACAACAGACUGUUCCAGCCAAGAAGAAAGACAACAUUCAGUUUCUUUGGACCCAGAUCCUUCAGCUAUUGCCAAGCAUGAAGAGGGCAUCUGAACACGUGUUUUUGUUCUAUAGAACAUCCUUCACAUAAAUUAUAAGCAUUUUGAGUAAUGCUUCUAUAAAAUAACUGUAUGAAUCCAUAAAUAAGUGGGAGAGUUCUGUGACUGGGUUGAUCUGUGAAAUCAGAGGACCUAAAUAGUAUUUCCAAUGAAAGAUUCAAUGAUGAGAACAGAUGACAGCCUGAGGUAAAUGUUUGGUGGGGUGGAGAGGGGUUGGGCAGUGCUCUCUGACUUGGACUGUUAGGGAAAUGUUGAUCCGGGUGGCUACUACUGACAAGAACCAUGAAUGUGACUGGUGAGAUAUACAGGUCAUUUUUUUAACCUGUCUCUAGAAGCGAGCAUUUCAAAGGCAUGGCAAUGUUACCGAAAGAAGCAUUACAGCAAUUACAGACACAUGGUGUCCUGCAAUAUGCCUUACAGUAUGAUAUCUAUGGGGGGGGGGGAGGGUCGUCAUGCUCAUCAAGGUCAGCUGUGGGACAUUUUGCAGGAUCAGCCUUGAUUGGAAAGGUAAGGCACUAAGGCAAAAGCAUCUAUAGUGAGAGGCCCUCUUGCAAAUACAGCUCUGGUGAAUGAAGCCGAGAACAGGAUGUUCACACAGACACAAAAUCCCAAGUAACAUGUAUCAUGAAAC
This is a long non-coding RNA of Gallus gallus (chicken), 4503 nucleotides long. RefSeq lists it as uncharacterized. NCBI's taxonomy places the organism in Eukaryota, Metazoa, Chordata, Aves, Galliformes, Phasianidae. The transcript has 3 exons. The record is from RefSeq and is a predicted model, not a curated record.